UGUGAAGCAGCUGGGGCCACAACUAUAAAUACUGAUGUCAUCAGGAUAAAGGGUACUUAAAGCCUCUAAUGAAAUCACCAAAGAAGUGAAUAAAGAAUGAAAUAAAAUGGAAACAAAGACUGAGAACUGGGGAAUUCCAGUGUACAGUUGCUAUGGAGACGAGAAUGGAGACAGAGAAGGAAGGGUCACAGUGAAGUGGGAGGAAUACUGGGAGAGCUAAGGGCAGGAAGUGCUGGCAGGGAAGAAAGAGUUGUGUCAAGUAUGUUAGACAGGCCAAGCAAGUGCAACACUGAAGAUCGCACCUUGGAUAACCAGCAGGAGUGUCAGUGAUGACCUUUUCAGGAACAUUUUGAUGGAGCAGUGGGAGUGAAAGUCUAAUGAGUGGGUUUAAGAGAAAAUGAGAGAGGACAAAUUAUAAAAGACAAACACAGAUAAUAACUCUUUGGAGGAAGUGUGCUAUAAAUAGUAGAAACAGGGCAGUAACUGGAAGGGGAAGAUUUUUUUUAGGAUGGGAGGAAUAACAGCAUGCUUUAUGUAGUCAGAAGGAUCUGGCAGAGUGUGAGCAGAAUGAGGAAGCAGAAGAGAGUGGAUAGGUGCUAGGACAACAUUCCUGAGUAGGUAAGAGGGCAUGAAAUCUGGCAUAGAAGUAGAAGAGGUUGACCUAGAUAGAAGUACACACAAUCCGGAGGAACAGGUGGGAAGGCAGAAUGUAAGAGUGCAUGUGCAGGUAGGUGGGUGGAAGUGAGGGUAGAAGUUCUGAACUGAUAGUUGUUAUUUCUCAAUAACAUAGGAUGAUUGCCUGGCAGCAGGAAGGGCCCAUGAGGGCAUGUCCAUACAUUUAAAGUGAUACUAGACCUUCUUUAGUCAUACAUAGUUAGCUUUUUUCAUAUCAGUUGGUGACAAUGGAAAGCAGGUCAGACCAUGUAGGGCAUUGCAGGUCACUGUAAGGACUGCAUAUAGGCCAGAAAUGGGAUGAAGUUUUGUCUUAACAAGGAAGGGUUGAAUUUUUGCCAAAUGAGUAAAAUGAAAAUAAUAUAAAGUUGAGUAAUAUUAAGGAGAAAGUGAGUUCAAGGCAUAUUUAUGGGUAGGGUAAGGGUUGUUAGAGUUAGGGUACUAUAAUCAAAUUGAGGUCAAAGUGUGGAAGUCUUGUAAUUGAGAUUAUAGAGGUGUUGCAUUUUUUGGUAAUAACAAGGUCAAACUUGGGUACCAUAAUCACAUAGAAGGCUUAUUUAACAGAGAUUGCUGGGCCAUAUCCCAGAUUUCCUGGUUCAGCAGGGCUGAGGUGAGGAUGAGAGUUUUAAUUUUUAGUAAUUUCUUCAGUGAUAGCAAAAUGGAACUUUGAGAACCACUGGUCUGUUGUAUGAGCAUGGUGAGGAAAUGGCUGAGAUAGGUUGAAGAACUUGGUCAUUAGGAUAAAUGGGUUCAAGGAUCUAAGAAACCAGAAUAUUGGAAGAAUCAUCUAUUUGGACAUAGGAAACACCAAAGAAGGAAUAAUUGUUGGCCCAGGAGUUAGAGCCAUUGAGAAAUGAGAGAUGGCUGCAACAGGGAGGGGAGACAGGUGGGAUAGUCUGACAACCUGAGAUUCAAAUUUGGAAGCUUUAAUGAAGGAAGAAGGAGCUCCUGGUCUCCGUGGAAGAUUAUACAGGGUCCUCAAGUGUCAAAGAAUAUCACAAAAUCCUUCCAGUGAAGAAACACAAGCAAGUGCCACAGUUUUUGCCAUGUGCUCUUUAAUCUAAAAAGUCCAGUGAAGAAUCCUGUGUGGCAGGUCUGCUGGAGUUUGCUGGAGGUCCACUCCAGA
Molecule: long non-coding RNA, 1798 nt
Filed under: Homo sapiens (human)
Lineage: Eukaryota; Metazoa; Chordata; Mammalia; Primates; Hominidae
Description: HSALNT0309300
Source: RNAcentral